Molecule: ribosomal RNA, 406 nt
Filed under: uncultured bacterium
Lineage: Bacteria
Description: partial 16S ribosomal RNA
Rfam family: Bacterial small subunit ribosomal RNA
Source: RNAcentral
AUUGAACGCUAGCGGGAGGCCUAACACAUGCAAGUCGAACGAGUGGCGGACGGGUGAGUAAUAUAUCGGAACGUGCCCAGUAGCGGGGGAUAACUACUCGAAACAGUGGCUAAUACCGCAUCCUAUUGGAGCGGCCCAUAUGGGAUUAGCUAGUUGGUGGGGUAAAGGCUCACCAAGGCAACGAUCCCUAGCUGGUCUGAGAGGAUUAUCAGCCACACGGGGACUGAGACACGGCCCAGACUCCUACGGGAGGCAGCAGUGGGGAAUAUUGCACAAUGGGCGCAAGCCUGAUGCAGCCAUGCCGCGUGUAUGAAGAAGGCCCUAGGGUUGUAAAGUACUUUCAGUCGGGAGGCGUUACCGUCAGAAGAAGCACCGGCUAACUCCGUGCCAGCAGCCGCGGUAAUUC